RNAcentral lists this ribosomal RNA (489 nucleotides) under uncultured bacterium. Its description in RNAcentral is "partial 16S ribosomal RNA". It matches the Rfam family "Bacterial small subunit ribosomal RNA", at positions 28 to 507 of the family's 1533-position model. The record is from RNAcentral.
GACGAACGCUGGCGGCGUGCUUAACACAUGCAAGUCGAACGGAAAGGCCCCCACCUUGGUGGGGGUGCUCGAGUGGCGAACGGGUGAGUAACACGUGGGUGAUCUGCCCUGUACUUCGGGAUAAGCUUGGGAAACCGGGUCUAAUACCGGAUAGGACCAUGGGUUAGUGUCUCAUGGUGGAAAAAUUCUUUUUUUGGUGCAGGAUGAGCUCGCGGCCUAUCAGGUUGUUGGUGGGGUAAUGGCCGACCAAGGCGUCGACAGGUGGCCGGGCUGGGAGGGGGGCCAGCCUGGUUGGGACUGAGGUACCACCCACACACCGACGGGAGCAGGCGGGAAGGGUGGUUGAUGGAUGGACGCCUGCCUGAGGCAGCGCGGCCGCGUGGAGGAGGACGGCCUUCGGGAUAUAACCUCCUUUCGUUAGGAACGAAGCCACACCUUUUUGGGGGGUGGUGGCGGUUCCUUUGUGAAGAAGCACCGGCUAACUACGUG